This 99-nucleotide non-coding RNA is filed under the name bovine gut metagenome. RNAcentral's name for it is "Pyrrolysine insertion sequence mttB". It matches the Rfam family "Pyrrolysine insertion sequence mttB". The record is from RNAcentral.
UAGACCGACGCCAAGAUCCCUGACUCCCAGGCAGCCCACGAGAAGACCAUCACCUCUCUGCUUCCUGCUAUGUCCGGUGUCAACCUGAUCUACGGAUCC